Molecule: ribosomal RNA, 497 nt
Filed under: uncultured bacterium
Lineage: Bacteria
Description: partial 16S ribosomal RNA
Rfam family: Bacterial small subunit ribosomal RNA
Source: RNAcentral
GAUGAACGCUGGCGGCGUGCCUAAUACAUGCAAGUCGAGCGAACAGACGAGGAGCUUGCUCCUUUGACGUUAGCGGCGGACGGGUGAGUAACACGUAGGUAACCUACCUAUAAGACUGGGAUAACUUCGGGAAACCGGAGCUAAUACCGGAUAAUAUUUCGAACCGCAUGGUUCGAUAGUGAAAGAUGGCUUUGCUAUCACUUAUAGAUGGACCUGCGCCGUAUUAGCUAGUUGGUAAGGUAACGGCUUACCAAGGCAACGAUACGUAGCCGACCUGAGAGGGUGAUCGGCAACACUGGAACUGAGACACGGUCCAGACUCCUACGGGAGGCAGCAGUAGGGAAUCUUCCGCAAUGGGCGAAAGCCUGACGGAGCAACGCCGCGUGAGUGAUGAAGGUCUUCGGAUCGUAAAACUCCGUUAUUAGGGAAGAACAAACGUGUAAGUAACUGUGCACGUCUUGACGGUACCUAAUCAGAAAGCCACGGCUAACUACGUG